This is a long non-coding RNA of Mugil cephalus (flathead mullet), 859 nucleotides long. RefSeq lists it as uncharacterized. The transcript has 3 exons. Lineage: Eukaryota; Metazoa; Chordata; Actinopteri; Mugiliformes; Mugilidae. The record is from RefSeq and is a predicted model, not a curated record.
GCAUCCCUUUUAUCUAACACUGACAUUUAAAAACUUUUCUUUUACCGUUAUUGACAGACUUGCAGCUGCGUGGGCCACGACUGGACAUGGUAGACAAAUCAGUUUUCCACUGAGAUUUAAAGACCUUUCUACUCUCACACAUUAGAAAAGUAAUCAUCAUCCACAAGUGCAAUAUGCCAGCCUGAUUCCCCGAGAGGAAACGCUUUUCAUCGACCCUGACGAGUGUGACGCUGAGAUGGACCGAUCCAUAAGGAGUCACGAUGCCAGUGGGUGUCUUUUACCAGAGGGAUGUUCAAUCAAUACGGAUACUUGCGUUCGCUUGGGUGAGCUUCACCAGCCUCGGCAUUCAGUCUCUCCGGUCGACACAACAGCUACCGCCUGCCUACAGCUGCCUAGGGAUUCUUCCAUCUUCACCAUUUUCCACUUUGUGAUUUUCCUCCCUCUUUAUUAAGCUGUUCUUGUGCCUGGCUUUGUCGUACUGUCUGCUUUUGGAUCCAUUUUGAGGAGAGUUGAUUCCUAUGAUGUUUUAUAUAAUAUACACAAAGGAGAAAUUGGGUACAGAGCUGAUUUCUGAUGUUACACAACUAUGUGUGUGGAGACGCUUUUGUUAAGGCACAUACCAAAACAUGGUUUCAUUUAGAUGUACACGUUUGCCUUCAGAACUAUCAGAAGAUGGGUACACUGUGGUCAUACAGGGAUGGACACGGUCAGCAACAAUACUCAGAUCUUCCAGCUCAGAGGAGUUCACGCAGGCGUGCGUGGCCAAGAAGUCCAGUUUUUCGACAAGAAUGGCCAGUUUCUGGGAGCUCUCGUGGGGCUGCUCCAGCGCCCGGAACACGGUGGCCCCGAUGAUGAGGUA